CAAAAUAAACAAGACUAGAUUGCAUAAAAAUACUUAAAAUUCAUACAAAAUCUCAAAGGAGAAAAGAGAAAUUCAAAACAAGCCUCACCUUCUCUAAAACUAGGUUUUGAGUAUUUAUAUAAAAAGGGAAAACGAACCGGGUCAACCCGGAACAAACCGGGUUUUGACCUGGUUUAGAAAAGCAAUCGACUAGGCAAUCGACCACUUGGUCGAUUCGAAUCUCGUCCGUAGCUCUGAUCCAUAUCAAUCGACCGGGCAAUCGACCAGUCAAUCGACCAAGCAAUCGACCAACUGGUCGACUGCUUCCUCGACUCCUUCUCGUCCGCGUGUCUGGUUUGGUCCCAAUCGACCAGUCAAUCGACCUACUG
Molecule: long non-coding RNA, 368 nt
Filed under: Arabidopsis lyrata
Lineage: Eukaryota; Viridiplantae; Streptophyta; Magnoliopsida; Brassicales; Brassicaceae
Description: long non-coding RNA (ALYR_LNC000602)
Source: RNAcentral